ACGCUCGACACCUACGGAGGCAGCAGUAGGGAAUCUUCCACAAUGGACGCAAGUCUGAUGGAGCAACGCCGCGUGAGUGAAGAAGGUCUUCGGAUCGUAAAACUCUGUUGUUAGAGAAGAACACGAGUGAGAGUAACUGUUCAUUCGAUGACGGUAUCUAACCAGCAAGUCACGGCUAACUACGUGCCAACAGCCGCGGUAAUCUGAGCGGGCUGGCAAGGC
This 222-nucleotide ribosomal RNA is filed under the name uncultured bacterium. RNAcentral describes it as "partial 16S ribosomal RNA". It matches the Rfam family "Bacterial small subunit ribosomal RNA", at positions 328 to 539 of the family's 1533-position model. The record is from RNAcentral.